RNAcentral lists this long non-coding RNA (821 nucleotides) under Castor canadensis (American beaver). Its description in RNAcentral is "lncRNA (ENSCCNG00000025984.1)". The record is from RNAcentral. Lineage: Eukaryota; Metazoa; Chordata; Mammalia; Rodentia; Castoridae.
CAAUCCCUCCACUCUCAGAUAGCCAAGGUGUUUUUACACUACACUAAUUUUAGUUGCUUGAUUUAGCUACAUAAUUACAUUUCUAGAUAACGACAGUGGUCAGAGUUUGACAGAGAAUUCAAUUAUUUAAGGCUGAAUUUUGGUCAUCUUGACAAGACUUCUCAUAAUUGAUUCUCAGGCAUCUGAGUGGCCACACUGUACAGUUUAGAAAGCUGUGGGAACAGCUACAUGCUGACCCCGUCACCUAACCGCCCGAUACUGUUUCUAACUUUAGCUUCUGACUCUGACUUUCAACACCACAUUUCUGGGAAGUUACCCGCCGGGAAGUCACCUCUCGAUGAGAUGAGAUGGGACCUGUUUUCUAGCUGGCUUCACUGUGGGUAAUCGUGGGAGGGGAGACCUGUGAGUUGCUUAGGUAAGGCCUGGGGUAGACUGAAUGAUAGUUCCGGAGUGUUAUAAAGCAGACGGACCACUGGAGCAGGAGGGAGAAACUUCAUUUCAGAUGCUUAGGCCAGAAAUGUACACAUUGAGACUCUUGGUUUCCUGAGUAGAGGAGAGUUAUGAAGCUUGGCAUGGAACGAGAGGUUCAACCCCACGCGUUCUGUUGGCCUUGUCUGCAUAUUCAUUUGUUGUGUUGUUCUCCCUACAGUUUCCAGUUCCAGGUAACAUUACUCACAUUUUCUCUCAUUCUCAUUUUCUACUUAUUUAUUACUGUCUUGUAUGGUUGCAGUCCCUGUAUUUUUGAAACUAACUGAAUGCAUCCUAGUCCUAGGCCAACCACAAACAAUAAAUAACCAACACUAAAUGAACUCUUUUUUUUC